UUUAUUUGCUCUUGGAAUUGACCCGUUACUUUACUUUUCCCUCUUCCCUAUCUCACCCUUUAAAAUGGAGCAUUCUACAUUAUUCCUUUAUCAUUUCCUUUCUCUUCUUUCCUUUCAAUCAACAAAAUACACAGAUCCACUCUUAGAUUCAACGGGCUGUGGAUUUCUCUCUUCGAUUAACCUGCUCAUGAUUAUGCUCGAGUUUUUUGUUCAGAUCUUUAUAGAUUCAUCGGCUUUGGUAAGAUUUAGCACUCUUUAUUUCUGAAAUCCUGUAUAUUCUAGAUCUGGUUGGUUCAGAUCUUUUGUAUCUGACUCGACCCUUCCGAUUGAGCUGAGUUUUUACUGAAGCUGAAACAAAGUGUCAUGAUUGUUCCAUUUUAGCUGUGAACAGCAGCGUCUUGAUUUCUUCACUCCAUUUGAUCACUAUUUGACUACAAAGUAUAUGACUUCUCACUCUGUUUAAAAUUUGUAGAUAUAAAGUAUAGGGUUAUUUCUUCUUCAGCAAAGUACCGAAUACACAAAUUUUCUGUUUCGGUACGGUAAUUCGAUAUUUACCAAAUUAUGCAUAGCCCUAGUUGAACACUCCAACUUAUCUAACGAUCAUUUAGACACCUUUCGUUUCCGUAAGUGUACCGUGUGCACACCUAGAUCUGAUAGACCUCAAGCGUGAGUUGCACUCGCCAAUGACAUGGUAAAGUAACAAAUAGAAAAAUGAUACGUGUAAUUUUGAGGAAAAAAUAAAAUUUAACUGAUCACUUCAUGGACUUCAAAAUUUUUGUCCUAUGUGGGAAGGCUACAACUGAUAAAAGUGUUCUUUUUCUCUAUGUAAACGUUUCGGUGCCAGAUAUUUAUCAUGCCAAAAAAAUCAUACAACAAAUUGAUACAACAAAUUGAAGUUGUGUGUAAAAGAUUUCUCUGGACUGGAGGAAAUGAGAUAACCAGGAAGGCAUUAGUUUCACGGAACAAAAUAUGUUAUCCCAAAUCAAUUGGAGGUUUUAAUGUGAUUGAUAUCUAUAUAUGGAAUAAGGCUUCUAUAUGCAAACACUUUUGGGAUUUAUACAAGAAAAAAGACAGAUUAUGGAUCAAGUGAAUCCAUAACUACUAUGUGAAGAUCAAUCACUUGUGAGAGGUUAAACAUUGAAAUGCUUCUUGGAUGGUGAUCAAGAUGUUUAAGGCAAAUGAGACUGUCAAAACUGCUGGCUAUACAUAUGAAGUUAAGAAGUUCUAUCACAGGUUAUGAGGUGACUUCCACAAGAUUAGCUGGAGAAGACUAGUGUGUAAUAAUCCCGGAUGCAACUAAUGGACUUUUAUCUUGCAACUGGUAGCUCUUGGGAGAAUAUAUACGACAGACAGGCUACUUAAGUGGGGUGUAGUAACAAACUUAGAGUGUCCUCUAUGCAACACUAAAGAUAAAUCCAUAGAACAUAUGUUCUUCAACUUCAAGUUCUCUACAGAAUUGUGGACCAAACUCAACUGCCAAGGCAUCAACAGAUUACCUAUGGGAUGGAGUCAAGAAGUUAACUGGGCAAUCAAUUAUGCUAAAGGAAAAAAUGCCAAAGCUGUCAUAUUUAGGAUGGUGAUGGCUGGUUGUAUAUACUAUCUGUGGCAAGAGAGGAACCAAAGGACUUUCUUGGGCAAAUAAAGAAGUGUUGCAUGCCUCUGCAAAUUGAUAAUACAAGACUUACAUGGAAGCGGACAAUGGAAUAGUAGGAUAGCUGAAGUUUUGAGAAAAAUGAACUAUUACCCCUAGGUCUGCUUGGAAACAUGUUGUAAAAAGCGAUGGGGGAGGUUAAGGAGAUAGUUGUGCUAUAGUUGGGGCUGUCCAGCUUUAAGGGUUUUGCUUUUUUUAACAUAUUUUUCCCCUUGGUAAAUAAAAUUUGACUAAUUACCAACCAAAAAAAAAAUGUUAAAAGAGACCUCUCCCCUGUGGCCCAUUUUCUACUUCUUCUUACGCCGAAUUCCAAACAAAUAGAAAAAUGAUAUGUGUACAAAAAUAUAUAUACUUAUUAAAAAAGCCCUUGCUUCAAUUCUUUCCACUCCCUCCUCUUCCUUUCUAAUUCAUCCAAACCUCUCCCUCUUUUACUGUUAUCUAAAGCCUAAUGUUCUAUAAAUUUCUAUCCUGAUAUAUAAAAUACAACUAAUUGGAUUGAGUGGAUUGUAUUAUAUUUUUUGGAAGAGAGAGAGAGAAUAAAAUUGGGUUAAGAGAUAGUGGGGUUCCUGUGAAAAAAAUAAGUAUAAUUAUAAGGGCCUUCAUGUUGCAGGGAAAAUAAAUAUUUUGCCAUGUCAGCGGAGAGGUUCACGAGAUGCACUUGCGUCAAGUUGAGAUCAAUGAUCAUUAGGUAAGUUGGAGUGUUCAACUGACAGUUGGAGCCCAACUUCAAAUAUUUGUUUAUGUAUUUUUGCCAUUUUAUAAAGGUAACAUAAUUUUGCGCUGACAUCAAUGAGACAUAGUUGAAGAAGAGAAAUAUUAAACUUUGUGACAUCAUGGGCAAUGUGGUUACUAAACUUCCCUUAAAUUAAAA
This 2522-nucleotide long non-coding RNA is filed under the name Nicotiana tabacum (common tobacco). Its description in RNAcentral is "long non-coding RNA (NTAB_LNC016234)". The record is from RNAcentral. Lineage: Eukaryota; Viridiplantae; Streptophyta; Magnoliopsida; Solanales; Solanaceae.